GGCUCAGGAUGAACGCUAGCUACAGGCUUAACACAUGCAAGUCGAGGGGAAACGAUAGAGAAAGCUUGCUUUUUCUAGGCGUCGACCGGCGCACGGGUGAGUAACGCGUAUCCAACCUGCCCAUCACUUGGGGAUAACCUUGCGAAAGUAAGACUAAUACCCAAUGACGUCUCUAGAAGACAUCUGAAAGAGAUUAAAGAUUUAUCGGUGAUGGAUGGGGAUGCGUCUGAUUAGCUUGUUGGCGGGUAACGGCCCACCAAGGCGACGAUCAGUAGGGGUUCUGAGAGGAAGGUCCCCCACAUUGGAACUGAGACACGGUCCAAACUCCUACGGGAGGCAGCAGUGAGGAAUAUUGGUCAAUGGACGAGAGUCUGAACCAGCCAAGUAGCGUGCAGGAUGACGGCCCUAUGGGUUGUAAACUGCUUUUAUAAGGGAAUAAAGUGAGUCUCGUGAGACUUUUUGCAUGUACCUUAUGAAUAAGGACCGGCUAAUUCCGUG
Molecule: ribosomal RNA, 498 nt
Filed under: uncultured bacterium
Lineage: Bacteria
Description: bacterial SSU rRNA
Rfam family: Bacterial small subunit ribosomal RNA
Source: RNAcentral